This 72-nucleotide transfer RNA is filed under the name Camelus bactrianus (Bactrian camel). It matches the Rfam family "tRNA". Rfam says of the family: Transfer RNA (tRNA) molecules are approximately 80 nucleotides in length. Their secondary structure includes four short double-helical elements and three loops (D, anti-codon, and T loops). Further hydrogen bonds mediate the characteristic L-shaped molecular structure. tRNAs have two regions of fundamental functional importance: the anti-codon, which is responsible for specific mRNA codon recognition, and the 3' end, to which the tRNAs corresponding amino acid is attached (by aminoacyl-tRNA synthetases). tRNAs cope with the degeneracy of the genetic code in two manners: having more than one tRNA (with a specific anti-codon) for a particular amino acid; and 'wobble' base-pairing, i.e. permitting non-standard base-pairing at the 3rd anti-codon position. RNAcentral also lists the same sequence under 3 other names. Lineage: Eukaryota; Metazoa; Chordata; Mammalia; Artiodactyla; Camelidae. The record is from Rfam by way of RNAcentral.
GGGGGUAUAGCUCAGUGGUAGGGCUCUUGCUUAGCACGCAUGAGGUCCUGAGAUCAAUCCCCAAUACUUCCA